UCGGUUUAGUAGUGUGUCGGUACUAAAAACUCCCUCUACGACUUAGCUGUUGUCCGCAACCCGGCUUCAUGGCAAGCUAGAGUAUGAGUAUGAAAUUACUGAACACAUGAAAAACGAUUGCAGAGACAAGCAAAUAAGCGAGCCGAGAUGCACACUAUUUUACCUAACCCAGCAUUUCCUUCCUGUCUCGGGCAUUUCCAAGCGAGUUUUUUGAGUUUAAGUUUUUUUUUUGAAAGGUCUGUUUGUCGUACCGGUGGCCCACGGAGUCCCACUGAUACGGGACGCGUGGGUCAUCAGUGAUGCAGCCCCAUCA
Molecule: long non-coding RNA, 313 nt
Filed under: Brachypodium distachyon (stiff brome)
Lineage: Eukaryota; Viridiplantae; Streptophyta; Magnoliopsida; Poales; Poaceae
Description: long non-coding RNA (BDIS_LNC002072)
Source: RNAcentral